AAUUCAUUGUGAAGAACAGAAAGCGAUACUUGAAAAGAACGACUUAAGAAUAUCCUUCCCUGUACAACUCCAUGCCUUCACUGGUCUUCCUUCCUGUGCAUUUCCUGCUCAUAAUAAGUCCAGUCCUUCAGAGAGUAAACAGACCAGUCAGCUUUCCUGAAGUGGGGACACAGGAAUGAGCUUCAAGUCACUGCCUUUGCAUUUCAUGU
This is a long non-coding RNA of Lepidothrix coronata (blue-crowned manakin), 209 nucleotides long. RefSeq lists it as uncharacterized. The record is from RefSeq and is a predicted model, not a curated record. The transcript has 2 exons. Lineage: Eukaryota; Metazoa; Chordata; Aves; Passeriformes; Pipridae.